AGUGAAGCGGCAACAGCUCAAAUUUGAAAUCUGGCGCAAGCCCGAGUUGUAAUUUGCAGAGGAUGCUUCUGGGCAACGGCCGGUCUAAGUUCCUUGGAACAGGACGUCACAGAGGGUGAGAAUCCCGUACGUGACCGGCUAGUACCCUCCACGUAGCUCCUUCGAAGAGUCGAGUUGUUUGGGAAUGCAGCUCUAAAUGGGAGGUAAAUUUCUUCUAAAGCUAAAUACCGGCUGGAGACCGAUAGCGCACAAGUAGAGUGAUCGAAAGAUGAAAAGCACUUUGGAAAGAGAGUUAAAAAGCACGUGAAAUUGUUGAAAGGGAAGCGCAUGCUACCAGACGUGUCGGCAGUGUUCCGCCGGUCUUCUGACCGGUCUACUCGCUGCCGGCAGGCCAGCAUCGUCUGGGGGCGCCGGAGAAAGGUUAGGGGAAUGUAGCUCCUCGGAGUGUUAUAGCCCCCGACACAAUACGGUGACUCCCGGGCGAGGUCCGCGCUUCGGCUAGGAUGCUGGCGUAAUGGUCGCCUGCGGCCCGUCUUGAAACACGGACCAAGGAGUCUAACAUCUAUGCGAGUGUUCGGGUGUCAAACCCCUACGCGGAAUGAAAGUGAACGGAGGUGGGAACAUUGUGCACCAUCGACCGAUCCUGAUGUCUUCGGAUGGAUUUGAGUAAGAGCAUAGCUGUUGGGACCCGAAAGAUGGUGAACUAUGCCUGAAUAGGGUGAAGCCAGAGGAAACUCUGGUG
This 742-nucleotide unclassified non-coding RNA is filed under the name Devriesia staurophora. Its description in RNAcentral is "sequence contains 28S rRNA gene". It matches the Rfam family "Eukaryotic large subunit ribosomal RNA", at positions 92 to 869 of the family's 3401-position model. Lineage: Eukaryota; Fungi; Ascomycota; Dothideomycetes; Mycosphaerellales; Teratosphaeriaceae. The record is from RNAcentral.